CCGCUGAACUUAAGCAUAUCAAUAAGCGGAGGAAAAGAAACCAACAGGGAUUGCCCCAGUAACGGCGAGUGAAGCGGCAACAGCUCAAAUUUGAAAUCUGGCCUCGGCCCGAGUUGUAAUUUGUAGAGGAAGCUUCUGGUGCGGCGCCGUCCGAGUCUCCUGGAACGGAGCGCCAUAGAGGGUGAGAGCCCCGUAUGGACGGAUGCCAAACCUGUGUGAAGCUCCUUCGACGAGUCGAGUAGUUUGGGAAUGCUGCUCUAAAUGGGAGGUAAAUUCCUUCUAAAGCUAAAUAUUGGCCAGAGACCGAUAGCGCACAAGUAGAGUGAUCGAAAGAUGAAAAGCACUUUGAAAAGAGGGUUAAACAGCACGUGAAAUUGUUGAAAGGGAAGCGCUUGUGACCAGACUUGAGCGCGGCGGAUCAUCCGGUGUUCUCACCGGUGCACUCCGCCGUGCCCAGGCCAGCAUCGGUUUCCGCGGGGGGACAAAGGUCCCGGGAACGUAGCUCCUCCGGGAGUGUUAUAGCCCGGGGCGUAAUGCCCUCGUGGGGACCGAGGACCGCGCAUCUGCAAGGAUGCUGGCGUAAUGGUCAUCAGCGACCCGUCUUGAAACACGGACCAAGGAGUCAAGGUUUUGCGCGAGUGUUUGGGUGUUAAACCCGCACGCGUAAUGAAAGUGAACGUAGGUGAGAGCUUCGGCGCAUCAUCGACCGAUCCUGAUGUAUUCGGAUGGAUUUGAGUAGGAGCGUUAAGCCUUGGACCCGAAAGAUGGUGAACUAUGCUUGGAUAGGGUGAAGCCAGAGGAAACUCUGGUGGAGGCUCGCAGCGGUUCUGACGUGCAAAUCGAUCGUCAAAUCUGAGCAUGGGGGCGAAAGACUAAUCGAACCAUCUAGUAGCUGGUUACCGCCGAAGUUUCCCUCAGGAUAGCAGUGUUGAUUCUCAGUUUUAUGAGGUAAAGCGAAUGAUUAGGGACUCGGGGGCGCUUUAUAGCCUUCAUCCAUUCUCAAACUUUAAAUAUGUAAGAAGCCCUUGUUACUUAAUUGAACGUGGGCAUUCGAAUGUACCAACACUAGUGGGCCAUUUUUGGUAAGCAGAACUGGCGAUGCGGGAUGAACCGAACGCGAGGUUAAGGUGCCGGAGUGGACGCUCAUCAGACACCACAAAAGGCGUUAGUACAUCUUGACAGCAGGACGGUGGCCAUGGAAGUCGGAAUCCGCUAAGGACUGUGUAACAACUCACCUGCCGAAUGUACUAGCCCUGAAAAUGGAUGGCGCUCAAGCGUCCCACCCAUACCUCGCCCUCAGGGUAGAAACGAUGCCCUGAGGAGUAGGCGGCCGUGGGGGUCAGUGACGAAGCCUAGGGCGUGAGCCCG
Molecule: ribosomal RNA, 1368 nt
Filed under: Schizothecium vesticola
Lineage: Eukaryota; Fungi; Ascomycota; Sordariomycetes; Sordariales; Schizotheciaceae
Description: eukaryotic LSU rRNA
Rfam family: Eukaryotic large subunit ribosomal RNA
Source: RNAcentral